Molecule: non-coding RNA, 93 nt
Organism: Mycena latifolia
Lineage: Eukaryota; Fungi; Basidiomycota; Agaricomycetes; Agaricales; Mycenaceae
Source: the annotation of a GenBank genome assembly
CACCCGGUGGCACAAGGUGUGCGUCUGCUAUCUUUCAAUGAUGAUUCAAGAAAGUUUGAGCAGAAGGUCCCCGUUCGAUUCGGGGUCGGGUGA